Molecule: long non-coding RNA, 2091 nt
Organism: Carcharodon carcharias (great white shark)
Lineage: Eukaryota; Metazoa; Chordata; Chondrichthyes; Lamniformes; Lamnidae
Exons: 2
Source: RefSeq, a predicted model, not a curated record
GUCAUGCACACUUUAAAAAGGAAAUUAGGAGAGCAAAAAGGGGGCAUGAAAAAACAUUGGCAGAUCUUCAGUUCCCUGAGGCAGCUCUCUGCCUUCAGAGAGAUUUCUGUCAGCGCUCGCCUGCGAUGAUGUCAGCGCUCGAUCUCCUCCCACCCCCACCCCAGCAGCACUGAGCUUUGGGGGCUGAUCGCAGCCGCGCUCCACUUCCCAGCCGCUCCCAGGCCUGCCGAUUGCACCCACCUGCCAACUUAAAAAUACAGGCCUAUCUCACUGCCAGAAUUCUGAUCAAGUGCUCCGUUUCUUUUUCAAAAGGGGGCACUUCAGCUCCUCGAACCUAUUGCACAAUUGAAUUAGGUCAUGGCUGAUCUGCAUCUUAACCCCCCCCAUUUACCCUCCUUAUCUCUUAAUAGGAAUCAUGGAAAACAAAUCACAGUACGGUAAUGAAAAGGCCACAUUGUUUUCCCAACAAAAAUCUAUCAGUUUCACGAUUGAAAUUUUCAAUUGAUCUGCAGCCUCAAGAACAAAAAGGGUGAAACCAAAGGGAAUAUGUGAAGGUUAGGAAAGAAGUCAAAACAAAAUUAGGAAGGUAAUGAGAAGCUACAAAAUUAAUUUAUCAAGGAAUUUAAAAUAUAUAAAAAGUCUUUUACAGGCACAUCAGUAAUAAAAGAAAAUUCCGAUCAGGGUUCAGACUCACUUGAGAGAUGCACCUGAAACACUCACUGAUAAUAACAACAAAAUAUCAGAAAUAUUGAAGAAUUACUUUACCAAGAGAAUUAACAUGAUGCAGGUGACAUUAGAUAAAGAGAUCAAAAAGGAUUGAAGACAUUUAAAAUAGAAAGGGGGGAGAGAAAGUUAAUAAAUAAUCAAAUUUAGACAGGAUAAAUCUCCUGGUUCAGAUGGAUUAUAUCUGUGCAUAUUAAAACUGAGGGAAGAGAUAACAGAGGAACAAUUCCAAGGGUACUUUCCCCCUAGGCAAACUUUCAUCCACGAUAAACAGUCAAAAAUUAAUGCAGUAAAGUGGUCCCACUCUCACAUAACCACUAAAAAUUGUCAAACUCAGAGGUAGUUGUAGUCUGCAGCCUGCCCUCAGCCCUCACUCUGGUCUCAGCCUCCCCGAGUUCCAUUCCACUGCUCUGCUUCUGCAGCACCACGUUCCCUCAGUCCACGUUCCCUCAGUCCACGUUCCCUCAGUCCACGUUCCCUCAGCACCACGUUCCCUCAGUCCACGUUCCCUCAGUCCACGUUCCCUCAAUCCACAUUCCCUCAGCACCACGUUCCCUCAGUCCACGUUCCCUCAGCACCACGUUCCCUCAGUCCACGUUCCCUCAGCACCACGUUCCCUCAGUCCACGUUCCCUCAGCACCACAUUCGCUCAGUCCACGUUCCCUCAGUCCACGUUCCCUCAGUCCACGUUCCCUCAGUCCACGUUCCCUCAGCACCAUGUUCCCUCAGCACCACGUUCCCUCAGUCCACGUUCCCUCAGUCCACGUUCCCUCAGUCCACGUUCCCUCAGUCCACGUUCCCUCAGCACCACGUUCCCUCAGUCCACGUUCCCUCAGCACCACGUUCCCUCAGUCCACGUUCCCUCAGCGCCACAUUCCCUCAGUCCACGUUCCCUCAGCACCACGUUCCCUCAGUCCACGUUCCCUCAGCACCACAUUCCCUCAGUCCACGUUCCCUCAGCACCACAUUCCCUCAGUCCAUGUUCCCUCAGCACCACGUUCCCUCAGCACCAUGUUCCCUCAGCACCACGUUCCCUCAGCACCACAUUCCCUCAGCACCACGUUCCCUCAGCACCACGUUCCCUCAGUCCACGUUCCCUCAGCGCCACAUUCCCUCAGCACCACGUUCCCUCAGCGCCACAUUCCCUCAGCACCAUGUUCCCUCAGCACCACGUUCCCUCAGCACCACGUUCCCUCAGUGUCAGUUAGAUUUGUGCGCUCCAUUCUGACACCUCUCGUGAGACCUCAUUCUGGAUCAGAAGAUCCUCACCCAGGCGCUUGCCUUUCUGAAUAGAUGAACUUGAAGUGCCCCAACCCCGGGCACCCUGUUAAGUUGCUCGUGUUCAUAAUAAAGUCAAAGCGAUAUCAA